UACGAAGGGGGCUAGCGUUGUUCGGAUUUACUGGGCGUAAAGCGCACGUAGGCGGAUCGUUAAGUCGGGGGUGAAAUCCUGGAGCUCAACUCCAGAACUGCCUUCGAUACUGGCGAUCUUGAGUCCGGAAGAGGUGAGUGGAACUGCGAGUGUAGAGGUGAAAUCGUAGAUAUUCGGAAGAACACCAGUGGCGAAGGCGGCAUCCUGGACCGACAUUGACGCUGAACGGCGAAAGCUAGGGAGCGAACAAG
This 251-nucleotide ribosomal RNA is filed under the name uncultured bacterium. RNAcentral's name for it is "partial 16S ribosomal RNA". It matches the Rfam family "Bacterial small subunit ribosomal RNA", at positions 524 to 776 of the family's 1533-position model. The record is from RNAcentral.